Molecule: ribosomal RNA, 331 nt
Filed under: uncultured Anaerolineaceae bacterium
Lineage: Bacteria; Bacillati; Chloroflexota; Anaerolineae; Anaerolineales; Anaerolineaceae
Description: bacterial SSU rRNA
Rfam family: Bacterial small subunit ribosomal RNA
Source: RNAcentral
UUGCAUGGCUGUCGUCAGCUCGUGUCGGUGAGAUGUUCGGUUAAGUCCGCUAACGAGCGCAACCCUCGCUGUAUGUUACAUGUGUCAUACAGGACCGCCGGUAUCAAGCCGGAGGAAGGUGGGGAUGACGUCAAGUCCGCAUGGCCUUUAUGUCCGGGGCGUACACACACGCUACAAUGGUCGGUACAAUGGGUUGCUAAGCCGCGAGGUGGAGCCAAUCCCCCAAAGCCGGCCUCAGUUCAGAUUGCAGGCUGCAACUCGCCUGCAUGAAGCUGGAGGUUGCUAGUAAACGCGCGUCAGCUAUAGUGCGUUGAAUACGUUCUCGGGCCUU